This 68-nucleotide transfer RNA is filed under the name Nipponoluciola cruciata (Japanese firefly). RNAcentral's name for it is "Luciola cruciata (Japanese firefly) tRNA-Lys". Lineage: Eukaryota; Metazoa; Arthropoda; Insecta; Coleoptera; Lampyridae. The record is from RNAcentral.
CAUUAGAUGACUGAAAGCAAGUACUGGUCUCUUAAACCACAUAAGUAAUUAGCAAUUACUUCUAAUGA